Molecule: ribosomal RNA, 497 nt
Filed under: uncultured bacterium
Lineage: Bacteria
Description: partial 16S ribosomal RNA
Rfam family: Bacterial small subunit ribosomal RNA
Source: RNAcentral
GAUGAACGCUGGCGGCGUGCCUAAUACAUGCAAGUCGAGCGAACGGACGAGAAGCUUGCUUCUCUGAUGUUAGCGGCGGACGGGUGAGUAACACGUGGAUAACCUACCUAUAAGACUGGGAUAACUUCGGGAAACCGUAGCUAAUACCGGAUAAUAUUUUGAACCGCAUGGUUCAAAAGUGAAAGACGGUCUUGCCGUCACUUAUAGAUGGAUCCGCGCUGCAUUAGCUAGUUGGUAAGGUAACGGCUUACCAAGGCAACGAUGCAUAGCCGACCUGAGAGGGUGAUCGGCCACACUGGAACUGAGCCACGGUCCAGACUCCUACGGGAGGCAGCAGUAGGGAAUCUUCCGCAAUGGGCGAAAGCCUGACGGAGCAACGCCGCGUGAGUGAUGAAGGUCUUCGGAUCGUAAAACUCUGUUAUUAGGGAAGAACAUAUGUGUAAGUAACUGUGCACAUCUUGACGGUACCUAAUCAGAAAGCCACGGCUAACUACGUG